This 315-nucleotide ribosomal RNA is filed under the name uncultured bacterium. Its description in RNAcentral is "bacterial SSU rRNA". It matches the Rfam family "Bacterial small subunit ribosomal RNA", at positions 28 to 327 of the family's 1533-position model. The record is from RNAcentral.
GGCGAACGCUGGCGGCGUACUUAACACAUGCAAGUCGAACGGGGAUCGACACGUGAGCAAUCACGUGGCGGUCUUAGUGGCGUACGGGUGAGUAACACGUGGGCAACCUGCCCUUGAGUCUGGGAUAACCUCCCGAAAGGGAGGCUAAUACCGGAUACGGUCCUCGGGUCGCGAGAUCUGAGGAAGAAAGGUGGCGCAAGCUACCGCUCUUGGAGGGACUCGCGGCCUAUCAGCUAGNGGUGAGGUAACGGCUCACCAAGGCUAUGACGGGUAGCUGGUCUGAGAGGACGACCAGCCACACGGGGACUGAGACAC